GUCAGUUACAGUGGUAUGUACUUGUAGUCCCAGCUACUUUGGAGGCUGAGGUGGGAGAAUCACUUGAGUUCAGGAAUUUGAGGCCAGCCUGGGCAACAUAGUAAGACCUCAUUU
This 114-nucleotide small RNA is filed under the name Marmota monax (woodchuck). The record is from RNAcentral. Lineage: Eukaryota; Metazoa; Chordata; Mammalia; Rodentia; Sciuridae.